RNAcentral lists this long non-coding RNA (1407 nucleotides) under Papio anubis (olive baboon). RNAcentral describes it as "lncRNA (ENSPANG00000046815.1)". The record is from RNAcentral. Lineage: Eukaryota; Metazoa; Chordata; Mammalia; Primates; Cercopithecidae.
CAGGGAUUAAAAAAGGAAUUUAAUCAGCCUAAGGGGAAAGGAACGCCAAGGAAAUCUUUCAGAAGAGCUAAUGUGGGAACCAAGUGCUCAUGGAUCACCUCAAGCAUAAGUGAACAAGACAAAUUUUGGAACUGCCAAUAGUUAAAGUCUUGUUGUUCUCAGGUUUCUGGUUGGAACAGUAACCAACUCUGUGUGCCAUCAUCCCAGUCCUAGGAUUCCUCAACUGUCUGCUGGCUCUGUCUCUCAGCAAAUCUUCCCAUCGCACUGGACACAUGGAAACUUUGGAUCUCUACACAACAAUCAAGGGGAACAAGCAACUGUAGGGAAAGUACAAAGUCUAACAAUUUCUUCUUCAUGGACCUUUUUGCUCAAUCUUUCUGAGGAAAGAGGUAAUGUCACUAGGUAAUUCUGAAGAGAUUGAGGAGAGUAGUCAAGCUUUGAAGAAGCCGCUGAAGAGAAGAAGCUAACUAUGGGAAGAAGUGUCAGGCAGUGUUGAUAAGCUCCAGACUAUACAUUUCUAGUAGGCAAACAGGGGCAAAUAUGUGACAUUUUCUCCAUCACUGCCCAAUGAUAAUAGCAAAGGGUUGAAGACUGGGAGAACAUCCAAGAGAGGUGGGACGGGGAGGUUGAGGAUGUCUAAAAAUAGUGGGGAUAAAACAAUGAAUGAGCUGGACAGAUCCACAGCAGGCUGUGGUCAGAUUAGGGGAUAAUGGGUUCUCAUAGUUUAAAGGUAGAAAGUUUUCAGGAGAUGAAAAACCUUGUGGGGGAGGUUUGAAGUAAAGAAGUGAAAACUGAUAAAUUUAAAAAGUCGAAUCACCGUAAGGCUGGGGAUUUGCUUGGAAAUUGAAGCUGGUUAGGAUGAAGGUUGAACUUGGUGUGAAGAGCAAGACACAUUUCCAGGUUCUAAAGACAUGGAGAGAAACCACUGGGAGUUAAAUAGAAUGAAAUUAAGACAAUGUGCAUGACAACAGCAAGGAGGGUUAACAUAUAUCAGAGGACAAAAGCCUGCAAGGAAAACAGAUUUGAGAGGAGUUAAGAAGGUAAUGGGCUGAAAGGGAAAACCAGGACAAUGGAAUACUAAUCAAUCUCUCCAUCUCUCUUCCCCAACUGCAGAGCUAGAAGACAUAGAUAAGGAAGAGAAGAGCUAUUCUUAGGAGAGAGCCAGAUUUCAGGUAAGGAGAUAGAGGUAGUUCAUUUGGCAAAUGACUCAGAGAGCAGGAAGAGCGAAGCAUGAAGAAAGCGAAAGCACAGCAGAGAAGAAAAAGCUAGUGAAGCUUGCAUUUUGAAUGACAGGCAAAGCAGAGGGGAUUGGGAGAGAAAUUUAGUGGACUGUUCUGAAGAGAGCCUUCUGAAGAGAACUUUGGUACAUAACCACUUGCUGUCCCUGGCUGAGGUCGUCGGAGUUUG